AGUGAACGCUGGCGGUAGGCCUAACACAUGCAAGUCGAACGGCAGCACAGUAAGAGCUUGCUCUUACGGGUGGCGAGUGGCGGACGGGUGAGGAAUACAUCGGAAUCUACUUUUUCGUGGGGGGUAACGUAGGGAAACUUACGCUAAUACCGCAUACGGCCUACGGGUGAAAGCAGGGGAUCUUCGGACCUUGCGCGAUUGAAUGAGCCGAUGUCGGAUUAGCUAGUUGGCGGGGUAAAGGCCCACCAAGGCGACGAUCCGUAGCUGGUCUGAGAGGAUGAUCAGCCACACUGGAACUGAGACACGGUCCAGACUCCUACGGGAGGCAGCAGUGGGGAAUAUUGGACAAUGGGCGCAAGCCUGAUCCAGCCAUACCGCGUGGGUGAAGAAGGCCUUCGGGUUGUAAAGCCCUUUUGUUGGGAAAGAAAAGCAGCAGGUUAAUACCCCGCUGUUCUGACGGUACCCAAAGAAUAAGCACCGGCUAACUUCGUG
Molecule: ribosomal RNA, 492 nt
Filed under: uncultured bacterium
Lineage: Bacteria
Description: partial 16S ribosomal RNA
Rfam family: Bacterial small subunit ribosomal RNA
Source: RNAcentral